This 610-nucleotide small RNA is filed under the name Pongo abelii (Sumatran orangutan). Its description in RNAcentral is "retained intron". Lineage: Eukaryota; Metazoa; Chordata; Mammalia; Primates; Hominidae. The record is from RNAcentral.
AGCUGCUGCCAUGGAGCCAGCCGGCCUAGAGCAGCUCCUACGGGAGCUGCUGCUACCGGACACCGAGCGCAUCCGUCGGGUACGAAGCAGGCGUAACCGGGCCAGGGCGAGCGGGAGGUUGCGGGAAAGGCCCGACUCUCACCCCUAGCUUCCCCCCAGGCCACGGAACAGCUUCAGAUCGUUCUUCGGGCCCCCGCCGCUUUGCCGGCUCUCUGCGACCUGCUAGCCUCGGCGGCCGACCCCCAGGUGAGACCCCUGACUCUCCCCUCCGAGCUUCCCACUGUACGCCACUGGUCAAGCCCCAAUAUCCGCCCCCUGCGGUCCGCUCAGCACCUUCCUGCCCGGACCCCCACGUGCUUGCUUCCUCGUCCUAGAUCCGCCAGUUUGCGGCCGUGCUGACCCGCAGACGACUGAACACCCGCUGGCGACGGCUGGCGGCGGAGCAACGGGAGAGCCUCAAGUCCCUGAUCCUGACGGCCCUGCAGAGAGAAACAGAGUAAGUAUCUACCCCUUUCUCUCGGGAUCUUGACGACUUUGGCUAGGUUUCUGCCUUCCCUUUCAGCUCCAGGCUGGGACUUGUAGGGCAGGGACUUCAGUUCUAGACGCAAGG